CCGAACAGCGGGAGGUUUCAUAUACCCGCUUUAUAAAUUGUCUCGGCCACCGCCAUGAAAGAGGGGCGAGUGGUCAUACCCCGUGAAAUGAAUUCGUUAUGCGAAGUUGGGCGAGGGGCGUCUCGCCGAGGGUCUUUCGCUAGACUCUCGAACCAAAGCGCACCCCACACAUUCAACCCCACUAAACUCUGAAUCUGAACUCAAAGGGAGGCAGGCGGCGCUCGUCGCCGCGGCCCCCCCAACCUUUAACGUU
This 253-nucleotide unclassified non-coding RNA is filed under the name Costaria costata. RNAcentral describes it as "ITS1". The record is from RNAcentral. Lineage: Eukaryota; Phaeophyceae; Laminariales; Agaraceae.